This 253-nucleotide ribosomal RNA is filed under the name uncultured bacterium. RNAcentral describes it as "partial 16S ribosomal RNA". It matches the Rfam family "Bacterial small subunit ribosomal RNA", at positions 524 to 776 of the family's 1533-position model. The record is from RNAcentral.
GACGGAGGGCGCAAGCGUUGUUCGGAAUUACUGGGCGUAAAGCGCACGCAGGCGGUCCCUUAAGUCCACUGUUAAAUCCCGGGGCUCAACCCCGGAGGUGCAGUGGAUACUGAGGGACUGGAGACCGGUAGAGGCUAGCGGAAUUCCUGGUGUAGCGGUGGAAUGCGUAGAUAUCAGGAGGAACACCGGUGGCGAAGGCGGCUAGCUGGGCCGGUUCUGACGCUCAUGUGCGAAAGCGUGGGGAGCAAACAGG